CGGAGGGCUAGCGUUGUUCGGAAUUACUGGGCGUAAAGCGCGCGUAGGCGGCUUUGUAAGUUAGAGGUGAAAGCCCGGAGCUCAACUUCGGAAUUGCCUUUAAGACUGCAUCGCUUGAAUCAUGGAGAGGUCAGUGGAAUUCCGAGUGUAGAGGUGAAAUUCGUAGAUAUUCGGAAGAACACCAGUGGCGAAGGCGACUGACUGGACAUGUAUUGACGCUGAGGUGCGAAAGCGUGGGAGCAAACAGGAUU
This 251-nucleotide ribosomal RNA is filed under the name uncultured bacterium. Its description in RNAcentral is "partial 16S ribosomal RNA". It matches the Rfam family "Bacterial small subunit ribosomal RNA", at positions 528 to 779 of the family's 1533-position model. The record is from RNAcentral.